AUUGAACGCUGGCGGCAUGCCUUACACAUGCAAGUCGAACGGCAGCGCGGGGCAACCUGGCGGCGAGUGGCGAACGGGUGAGUAAUAUAUCGGAACGUGCCCUGGAGUGGGGGAUAACGUAGCGAAAGUUACGCUAAUACCGCAUACGAUCCAAGGAUGAAAGCAGGGGACCUUCGGGCCUUGUGCUCCUGGAGCGGCCGAUAUCUGAUUAGCUAGUUGGUGGGGUAAAAGCCUACCAAGGCGACGAUCAGUAGCUGGUCUGAGAGGACGACCGGCCACACUGGUACUGAGACACGGACCAGACUCCUACGGGAGGCAGCAGUAAGGAAUAUUGGUCAAUGGAGGCAACUCUGAACCAGCCAUGCCGCGUGCAGGAUGACGGCCCUAUGGGUUGUAAACUGCUUUUAUACAAGAGAAACCCUGGUACGUGUACCAGGUUGAUAGUAUUGUAAGAAUAAGCAUCGGCUAACUUCGUGCCAGCAGCCGCGGUAAU
Molecule: ribosomal RNA, 493 nt
Filed under: uncultured bacterium
Lineage: Bacteria
Description: bacterial SSU rRNA
Rfam family: Bacterial small subunit ribosomal RNA
Source: RNAcentral